Eutrema salsugineum is the source of this 1475-nucleotide RNA transcript. It is a transcript of the gene named mitochondrial phosphate carrier protein 1, mitochondrial, with no coding region annotated. The record is from RefSeq and is a predicted model, not a curated record. Lineage: Eukaryota; Viridiplantae; Streptophyta; Magnoliopsida; Brassicales; Brassicaceae. The transcript is spliced from 7 exons.
GCAUGAAACCUAAAUAUGUAACAUCCAUUUCAGUAAAGAUGCGAUUUUUACGCGAACCCGUUCCCGAAAGUUUGGAACUUUAUUUGUCUAUGUUGGGAAAAAAGUAAAAGAGAGUGUUCUGUUUCCUUCUGGGCCUUGUCUUUGGCGUCCGUGAGACGUGGACAAAGAAUCGCCAUCAGAAAUGAGAACCCUCCACGUAUGCUCUUUCUCCCUCUUCUAUAGCUUUCAUGUGACCUUCUCCUGACGUGUUUCUUCAUUUCUGGGUUUUGGGUUUUCCGGAGAACACGCCAAGGAACAACUUUUAGGGUUUAUCGGGAUCCGAAACGACUUUUUUUUUUGUAGAAGAUGACAAGUGUCAAGAGGAAACUAGACGAUCAGCUGUCGUCUCCUUGGUUUUACACUGUUUGCACCAUGGGAGGAAUGUUCAGUGCCGGAACAACCCAUUUGGCUAUAACUCCUCUUGAUGUUCUCAAAGUCAAUAUGCAGGUGAAUCCAGUGAAGUACAAUAGCAUACCUUCCGGUUUCUCCACUCUGUUAAGAGAACAUGGCCAUUCUUAUCUCUGGAGGGGUUGGUCAGGGAAGCUUUUAGGCUAUGGUGUUCAAGGUGGAUGCAGAUUCGGACUGUAUGAGUACUUCAAGACGCUCUACAGCAAUGUGUUGCCUAAUCAUAACAGAACUUCCAUAUAUUUUCUCAGUAGUGCUUCUGCUCAGAUAUUCGCCGAUAUGGCCUUAUGUCCUUUUGAAGCUAUAAAAGUUAGAGUUCAGACACAGCCCAUGUUCGCAAAAGGGUUGCUUGAUGGCUUUCCAAGAGUAUAUAGAAAUGAAGGUCUUGCUGGCUUCCACAGGGGACUUUUUCCGCUCUGGUGUCGCAAUCUUCCAUUUUCUAUGGUGAUGUUCUCAACGUUUGAGCAGUCAGUUGAGUUUAUAUAUCAAAAAGUUAUCCAGAAAAGGAAGCAAGAUUGCUCUAAAACUCAACAGCUCGGUGUCACAUGUCUUGCUGGUUAUACUGCUGGUGCCGUAGGUACAGUCAUCUCUAACCCUGCAGAUGUUGUUCUUUCGUCUCUAUACAACAACAAAGCCAAGAACGUGUUGCAGGCCGUGAGGAACAUUGGGUUUGUUGGCCUCUUCACCAGAAGUCUUCCUGUUCGGAUCACGAUCGUUGGACCUGUCAUAACCUUGCAAUGGUUCUUUUAUGACGCCAUCAAAGUCUUAAGUGGAUUCCCUACAAGUGGAGGAGUGGAGAAACCGGUGGAUGCAAUUAAAUUAUCAGUGUGAAGCUUAGAAGAGUAGUUUCAUUUCUGUCAACAUCAGAAAACAAGAAGCUAAAACCAUAUAUUUCUAUAAACUAUGAUCUUGUAACUGACCUGGACCAUCUUGUCUGAGAAGAGAAGACUGAGAAUUUAUUGUUCUUGGGUUGCUCAGAAGCUUCCAAGGUACUUGGAUUGAAUCUUACCACCGGUUUUAGAAAAGUAUUU